RNAcentral lists this unclassified non-coding RNA (714 nucleotides) under Hevea brasiliensis (rubber tree). Lineage: Eukaryota; Viridiplantae; Streptophyta; Magnoliopsida; Malpighiales; Euphorbiaceae. The record is from RNAcentral.
AGUUCGUCUAGGGUUUAGAGAGAGCCAGGCGUCCGAACAGCGAGAAAAUGGUUAAGUUUCUGAAGCCAAACAAGGCAGUGAUCAUCCUCCAAGGCCGCUAUGCCGGUCGCAAGGCGGUGAUCGUCAAGUCCUUCGAUGACGGCACACGCGACCGCGCCUACGGCCACUGCUUGGUUGCAGGGAUAAAGAAGUACCCAAGCAAGGUUAUCAAAAAGGACUCUGCCAAGAAGACGGCCAAGAAGUCCCGCGUUAAGUGUUUCAUCAAGCUCGUCAACUACCAGCACUUGAUGCCCACCCGCUACACCCUCGACGUCGACCUCAAGGAUGUGGUCACAGUCGACGCAUUGCAGAGCAAGGAGAAGAAGGUUGGGGCUGCGAAGGAGACCAAGGCGAGGUUCGAGGAGAGGUUCAAGACUGGCAAGAAUAGGUGGUUCUUUACCAAGCUCAGGUUUUGAGCUUUAUUAUCAGGGUUAAGUUCGUAGAGUUUUCUUGGUUUUAUUUGCUUAAAUUUUGUUUUGAAGAAAUGGGUAUGUGUGAUUUUGAGACUUGUUAAGUGGUAAUUGUUAAUUUGGAUCUUGUUGCGUUUUGAUCAACUUGUUCAGAUCUGUAGGGACAAGUUAUUUCUGAGCAUAUACAAUCUUCGUAUCUUUUUCCUUUUAUGAGUUCUGUUUGAUUUGGACCCUGUUCUCUUGCUGCAUUUACAUUUUCUAAUUG